RNAcentral lists this ribosomal RNA (469 nucleotides) under uncultured bacterium. RNAcentral's name for it is "bacterial SSU rRNA". It matches the Rfam family "Bacterial small subunit ribosomal RNA", at positions 29 to 507 of the family's 1533-position model. The record is from RNAcentral.
AACGAACGCUGGCGGCGCGUCUUAAGCAUGCAAGUCGGACGGUAAGGAAGGAGCUUGCUUCUUCCCUAGAGUGGCGGACUGGUGAGGAACGCGUGGGUGACGCACCCUCCGGACGGGGAUAGCCGGUAGAAAUACCGGGUAAUACCGGAUAAGAGCGCCUCCUUGGAGGGAGGCGGAGAAAGCGGCUUCGGCCGCGCCGGAGGAACGGCCCGCGUGCUAUUAGCUAGUUGGUGGGGUAACGGCCUACCAAGGCGACGAUCAGUAGCCGACCUGAGAGGGUGACCGGCCACAUUGGGACUGAGACACGGCCCAAACUCCUACGGGAGGCAGCAGUGGGGAAUAUUGCACAAUGGGCGAAAGCCUGAUGCAGCGACGCCGCGUGAGCGAAGAAGUAUUUCGGUAUGUAAAGCUCUAUCAGCAGGGAGAAAAAAUGACGGUACCUGACUAAGAAGCACCGGCUAAAUACGUG